UGCUGUUUUCAUUCUCUAAACCUACUUGACAGGAUGCUACUUCUCCCGAGUCUUGUAGAAGUUCGGCUAUCUUGAGUAAAAAUGCCAGUUUUGUCAUUUGGAUGGCCGUCAAGUCGUCUGGCCAUCGUGUCGAGCCUUCAAACUGGAGAAGAACAUCGGCAGGACUGUUUUGCACUAGCCCGCUGUUUGAGAUUUGAGUUGAUGUGUACCUUAAGAGAGGGCUAGCUGGGGAGAGUUGGUGUAAUGUGAGCGGAAGCCCAUCGAUGCCUUGGAGUAGUUUUUCAAGAGAGCUGAAUGCAUCCAUAUACGGCUGAAAGGAAGAAGUAGGGUUCAAUGCGCUGGCACCGUUGAAGUAUUCGUCGCCAAGGUCGUAGUUAGCAAAUGUGAUGCGGUUUCCAUCAAGGCCAAGAUGCAGCUUCAAGAUAUGGGCCACAAUUUGCUGGACAAUUGGUGGGUCUGACUGGC
This 465-nucleotide small RNA is filed under the name Histoplasma capsulatum. RNAcentral describes it as "hypothetical RNA". Lineage: Eukaryota; Fungi; Ascomycota; Eurotiomycetes; Onygenales; Ajellomycetaceae. RNAcentral also lists the same sequence under 1 other name. The record is from RNAcentral.